RNAcentral lists this transfer RNA (85 nucleotides) under Candidatus Vogelbacteria bacterium GWA1_51_14. Its description in RNAcentral is "tRNA-Ser". It matches the Rfam family "tRNA". Rfam says of the family: Transfer RNA (tRNA) molecules are approximately 80 nucleotides in length. RNAcentral also lists the same sequence under 3 other names. The record is from RNAcentral. Lineage: Bacteria; Candidatus Vogeliibacteriota.
GGAGGCGUCGCAUAGUGGUUUAGUGCACCGGUCUUGAAAACCGGAGUCUCGCAAGGGACCGUGAGUUCGAAUCUCACCGCCUCCG